This 431-nucleotide ribosomal RNA is filed under the name uncultured organism. RNAcentral's name for it is "bacterial SSU rRNA". It matches the Rfam family "Bacterial small subunit ribosomal RNA", at positions 29 to 507 of the family's 1533-position model. The record is from RNAcentral.
AACGAACGCUGGCGGCAGGCUUAACACAUGCAAGUCGAGCGCGUAGCAAUACGAGCGGCAGACGGGUGAGUAACGCGUGGGAACCUACCUUUUGGUGCGGAAUAACACAGGGAAACUUGUGCUAAUACCGCAUGUGUCCUUCGGGAGAAAGAUUUAUCGCCAAAAGAUGGGCCCGCGUUGGAUUAGCUAGUUGGUGGGGUAAAGGCCUACCAAGGCGACGAUCCAUAGCUGGUCUGAGAGGAUGAUCAGCCACAUUGGGACUGAGACACGGCCCAAACUCCUACGGGAGGCAGCAGUGGGGAAUAUUGGACAAUGGGCGGAAGCCUGAUCCAGCCAUGCCGCGUGAGUGAUGAAGGCCUUAGGGUUGUAAAGCUCUUUCGUCAGGGAAGAUAAUGACGGUACCUGAAGAAGAAGCCCCGGCUAACUUCGUG